Molecule: ribosomal RNA, 451 nt
Filed under: uncultured bacterium
Lineage: Bacteria
Description: partial 16S ribosomal RNA
Rfam family: Bacterial small subunit ribosomal RNA
Source: RNAcentral
AGCGAACGCUGGCGGCAGGCUUAACACAUGCAAGUCGAGCGGGCGUAGCAAUACGUCAGCGGCAGACGGGUGAGUAACGCGUGGGAACGUGCCCUUUGGUUCGGAACAACACAGGGAAACUUGUGCUAAUACCGAAUAAGCCCUUACGGGGAAAGAUUUAUCGCCGAAGGAUCGGCCCGCGUCUGAUUAGCUUGUUGGUGAGGUAACGGCUCACCAAGGCUACGAUCAGUAGCUGGUCUGAGAGGAUGAUCAGCCACACUGGGACUGAGACACGGCCCAGACUCCUACGGGAGGCAGCAGUGGGGAAUAUUGGACAAUGGGGACAACCCUGAUCCAGCCAUGCCGCGUGAGUGAUGAAGGCCCUAGGGUUGUAAAGCUCUUUCGGCGGGGAAGAUAAUGACGGUACCCGCAUAAGAAGCCCCGGCUAACUUCGUGCCAGCCGCCGCGGUAA